CGGUAAUACGUAGGGUGCGAGCGUUAAUCGGAAUUACUGGGCGUAAAGCGUGCGCAGGCGGAUUGUUAAGCAAGAUGUGAAAUCCCCGGGCUUAACCUGGGAAUGGCAUUUUGAACUGGCAGUCUAGAGUGUGUCAGAGGGGGGUGGAAUUCCACGUGUAGCAGUGAAAUGCGUAGAUAUGUGGAGGAACACCAAUGGCGAAGGCAGCCCCCUGGGAUAACACUGACGCUCAUGUACGAAAGCGUGGGUAGCAAACAGGAUUAGAUACCCUGGUAGUCCACGCCCUAAACGAUGUCAACUGGUUGUUGGGGGAGUGAAAUCCCUUAGUAACGAAGCUAACGCGUGAAGUUGACCGCCUGGGGAGUACGGUCGCAAGAUUAAA
RNAcentral lists this ribosomal RNA (382 nucleotides) under uncultured bacterium. RNAcentral's name for it is "bacterial SSU rRNA". It matches the Rfam family "Bacterial small subunit ribosomal RNA", at positions 518 to 898 of the family's 1533-position model. The record is from RNAcentral.